ACGGGGUGGUUAUUUGGGUGAGAAAAUGAGUCGCCGCGCUGGUCCUGGAGGGUUAGUAGGAGUUCAGAGGGCUCUGGUUGUUUUCUCUGUUCCUUUGAUGGGGUGGUGGGGUCCCUAAUGUGUUGAUGUGCAUUUGGUCUUGCUCUGUUUUGACUGCCUGACGAAGAAUGUGGUAUGUGUUCAGAAGUGUGGGUCAGACGAAGUGGUGAUGGUCAUCUUCUUGUUCUGUGUGGAUAUUGGAGAUCAAGGGAAAGUCAGCUCUGGUUUUUGUAAUAUUUUAAUUGUGGUGGUCUUGUAUAUAUAUUUUUUUUCCCAGGAACACACCCUGGGGAGUUUGGAUAUAUAUGUGUUUGCAUAUGGGCUAUGUUAAGGAAGGCAUUUGGGUAGUUUUCUCUGCACUUGCAAUGUGAUUGUUAUAGUUGGGAAAUGGAGGAGGAAUAUUUGUACAUUCUGGACAUCAUGUUUUGGUACAAGGGAUUUUGAAUAAAUUUUAUUUUCAUUACCCAUGCACAUGUACUUGAGUGUGUGAAGGCUGGUCGGUUACUAAUUUUGUGGAGCAGUAGAAUGAAGAUGGCAGGCUUCUGCAUUUUGGAAGACAGAGAGUUAUUUCUUCAUAUUUGGGAGGGUGUGAGUGUGUGAGCUUGUAUAUGAAGAUGAGAUACCUAUGGAGAGUUACUUGUGUAUUGAGAUUGUAUUAACUACCCCACCUCAGGUGUGUGUGUGUGUUUGUGUUGCAGUAUUAGCAUUAGUUGU
Molecule: long non-coding RNA, 753 nt
Filed under: Marmota monax (woodchuck)
Lineage: Eukaryota; Metazoa; Chordata; Mammalia; Rodentia; Sciuridae
Source: RNAcentral